Molecule: ribosomal RNA, 195 nt
Filed under: uncultured bacterium
Lineage: Bacteria
Description: partial 16S ribosomal RNA
Rfam family: Bacterial small subunit ribosomal RNA
Source: RNAcentral
UACUAGAGUCUUGUAGAGGGGGGUAGAAUUUCAGGUGUAGCGGUGAAAUGCGUAGAGAUCUGAAGGAAUACCGGUGGCGAAGGCGGCCCCCUGGACAAAGACUGACGCUCAGGUACGAAAGCGUGGGGAGCAAACAGGAUUAGAUACCCUGGUAGUCCACGCCGUAAACGAUGUCUACUCGGAAUUUGGUACCUU